RNAcentral lists this long non-coding RNA (214 nucleotides) under Elaeis guineensis (African oil palm). Its description in RNAcentral is "long non-coding RNA (EGUI_LNC011279)". Lineage: Eukaryota; Viridiplantae; Streptophyta; Magnoliopsida; Arecales; Arecaceae. The record is from RNAcentral.
CUUCUCCAUCUUUUUUUUUCUUCCACCACUCAGGCCCACUAUUCCCUUUUGUCCUGCUCUUUUGUCGCUUGCUUUUUCGAAGCUACAUGCUGCUCCUUUUCUUCUUUCUCUUCCAUCACAGAGGUCCAUUGCUUGCCUCCCUACCACCACAUGUCGACCUUCGAUGAGAAAGGACAGUGCUCUAUCACGAAGGAGAGAGGAGAAAGAGGGGGAG